RNAcentral lists this ribosomal RNA (253 nucleotides) under uncultured bacterium. RNAcentral's name for it is "partial 16S ribosomal RNA". It matches the Rfam family "Bacterial small subunit ribosomal RNA", at positions 524 to 776 of the family's 1533-position model. The record is from RNAcentral.
AACGUAGGACGCAAACGUUAUCCGGAAUUACUGGGCUUAAAGGGUGCGUAGGCGGCGCGGAAAGUUGGGUGUGAAAUCCCUCGGCUCAACCGAGGAACUGCGCCCAAUACUACCGUGCUUGAGGGAGAUAGAGGUGAGCGGAACUUAGGGUGGAGCGGUGAAAUGCGUUGAUAUCCUAAGGAACACCGGUGGCGAAAGCGGCUCACUGGAUCUCUUCUGACGCUGAGGCACGAAAGCUAGGGUAGCGAACGGG